RNAcentral lists this ribosomal RNA (450 nucleotides) under uncultured bacterium. RNAcentral's name for it is "partial 16S ribosomal RNA". It matches the Rfam family "Bacterial small subunit ribosomal RNA", at positions 354 to 796 of the family's 1533-position model. The record is from RNAcentral.
GUGAGGAAUUUUGCGCAAUGACCGCAAGGCUGACGCAGCAACGCCGCGUGGGUGAUGAAGGCCUUCGGGUCGUAAAGCCCUGUCAGGUGGGAAGAAAGGCCUUAAGGAGAAAGACUUGAGGUUUGACGGUACCACCAGAGGAAGCACCGGCUAACUCCGUGCCAGCAGCCGCGGUAAUACGGAGGGUGCGAGCGUUAUUCGGAAUUACUGGGCGUAAAGCGCGUGUAGGCGGGGGGACAAGUCUGAUGUGAAAGCCCUGGGCUUAACCUGGGAAGCGCAUUGGAAACUGUUUUUCUUGAGUACUGGGGAGGAAGGGGGAAUUCCCGGUGUAGAGGUGAAAUUCGUAGAGAUCGGGAGGAAUACCAGUGGCGUAGGCGCCCUUCUGGACGGUAACUGACGCUGAGACGCGAAAGCGUGGGGAGCAAACAGGAUUAGAUACCCGGGUAGUCC